This 253-nucleotide ribosomal RNA is filed under the name uncultured bacterium. Its description in RNAcentral is "partial 16S ribosomal RNA". It matches the Rfam family "Bacterial small subunit ribosomal RNA", at positions 524 to 776 of the family's 1533-position model. The record is from RNAcentral.
UACGGGGGGGGCAAGCGUUGUUCGGAAUUACUGGGCGUAAAGGGCUCGUAGGUGGCCAACUAAGUCAGACGUGAAAUCCCUCGGCUUAACCGGGGAACUGCGUCUGAUACUGGAUGGCUUGAGUUCGGGAGAGGGAUGCGGAAUUCCAGGUGUAGCGGUGAAAUGCGUAGAUAUCGGGAGGAACACCAGUGGCGAAGGCGACUACCUGGCCUGUUCUUGACGCUGAGGCGCGAAGGCGUGGGGAGCGAACGGG